Molecule: ribosomal RNA, 368 nt
Filed under: uncultured organism
Description: bacterial SSU rRNA
Rfam family: Bacterial small subunit ribosomal RNA
Source: RNAcentral
CGAAGGUGGCAAGCGUUGUUCGGAUUUACUGGGCGUACAGGGUGCGUAGGCGGUUCGGUAAGCCCUCCGUGAAAUCUCCAGGCUUAACCUGGAAAGUGCAGAGGGGACUGCCGGGCUAGAGGACGGGAGAGGAGCGCGGAAUUCCCGGUGUAGCGGCGAAAUGCGUAGAGAUCGGGAGGAAGGCCGGUGGCGAAGGCGGCGCUCUGGAACGUUUCUGACGCUGAGGCACGAAAGCGUGGGGAGCAAACAGGAUUAGAUACCCUGGUAGUCCACGCCUUAAACGAUGGAUACUAAGUGUCGGCGGGUUACCGCCGGUGCCGCAGCUAACGCAGUAAGUAUCCCGCCUGGGAAGUACGGCCGCAAGGUUG